This is a non-coding RNA of Schizosaccharomyces pombe (fission yeast), 1346 nucleotides long. The record is from the annotation of a GenBank genome assembly. Lineage: Eukaryota; Fungi; Ascomycota; Schizosaccharomycetes; Schizosaccharomycetales; Schizosaccharomycetaceae.
AAAUUGGAUGUUUACAUGUGGGUUUACAAGCUUAAUAUGCUCUUGGGUUACGCAUACACCAUACCUACCAAGACUACAACGAAGCAAAUCUACUCACUACUAAAGACUAUCAACACAUUUUCACACUGUUUACUGCCAGAAAAUAUAUAUUUUGAUUGAGGAGGUCUAAUUUUCGACAGCAGCAGCACCACGCAAGAGACCAGUUCUGCGAGCGGCAAUGAGACCAACCUUUUGACCAGGAGCGGAUUGGCGAGGAACAGUGGUAGAGUGACCAACGUGUUGAUGGUUACCACCACCGUGAGGAUGAUCGACGGGGUUCAUAGCAACACCACGAGUACGAGGCCAGCAGUUGCGCUUAACACGGUAUUUGUGGAAAGCACGACCAGCCUUGAGCAAAGGCUUGUCAAUACGUCCACCACCAGCGACAAUACCGACAACACCACGAGCAGAAGAGGGGACAACCUUUUUGGCGCCAGAGGGCAACUUAACACGGGUCUUGCCAGUGUCAACAUCAUGUCCGACAAUGAUAACGUAGUUACCAGAAGAACGACCUAAUGCACCACGGUCACCAGCCUUCUCCUCAACGUUGGAGAUGAUAGUACCCUCAGGCAUCUCACCAACAGGCAAGACAUUACCAACGGUCAAAGCAGCGUUCUUACCGCAGUAGACGAAUUGGCCAGUGUACAUACCCUCGGUAGCGACGAAGGUCUCAACAUCGGUUCUGUAGUGAUAAGGGUUACGGAAAGCAACCUUGGCCAAAGGAGCACCGCGACCAGGGUCGUGAAUGAUCUUUUGAACAACACCACGAAUGUAUCCGUGACGUUCAGCAAAGUCCAAGGUACGGAGCUGAGCGGCACCCUUACGGAGGCGGGUAUGAGCCUGGAAAAUUCCUCCACUCUUUCUUUGUGCUCUAAUAACACGACCCAUUUCUGGUGUUUUGGUUGUUGGAGAAUACGGUAUUGAGGUUGCAAAUUCAAGUGGUGAAUUGUUGUAAAAUGUGACUGUUUUCGGUCAUCCAAAAUUUUUUGACUUAAGUAUUAUGCAUUUCGUUAAUGGAAAGCCUAACGAGAAAAAAAAUUGGUGCGAAAUCAUGUGAAUAACGAGAUGCAUGUAAUUUACCGUACCUCCCUAAAUUCUUAGGAGUGCUAUACUGUUGAGAGCAGUAGAAAUGGAACAGAUUGGAUAAAUGAGAUAAAUUGUAAUAACGUGAAUAUUUAUUUAUUUACAUAAUGAAUGCAGUUGGGAAAUUAAAGAAAGUGAUGCUUUAACGCAGACACUUCUUUUGCAUCAUGAUACACGGAUUGUGGUAUAAAUAACUGAAAGAAAAAAAGAGACAUUCUACUGUU